GAAAAUACGAGAUUAACGCUACCAUUACUAGUACGAGAAGAAAGAUGCUCGAUUGCCUACUAAUCUUACUAUGUCCUGCCUAAUCGCCUCUUCCAAAUACUUCUUCGAUCUAACUCUCCUCGUACCCACUAUUAUCAAACUCUCACACGUACUAAGUGAGGCUUCCACGCAAUCAUCUCAGCCUCGUUUUAAUAAGACAAAAAAUACAUUUGAGGAGGCGACAUUGAACAAUUUGUGAGAGUUCAAUGGGCAAUUUGACCCUUUUCCCAAACUUCCUCUGAAAUUUGAAACCAGCUCCAGAGCAAAGACGCAUAGACAAUACCCUAGCCAAAGGUAACUACCGUACUCCAAAUCCAACUAUGGUGAUGAGCAAAGCUGCAAAACUACCCGAAGAAAUCAUAAUUGACAUACUUCCCCUCCUACCUGCAAAGUUCAUAGGACAAUAUAGGUGCGUGUCAAAGCAGUGGUGUAACCUUCUCUCAGACCCACAAUUCAUCAAAUCUCACCAAACAAUCCAUGCCCAUAAAGGAGAAGAGAAACUCAUCUAUGUCUCUUAGUAUCGCGAACUUCAAACUAUCACGUUUAACCACAACCCCGAAAAUGGAAUCGAUAUGAUCUCAAGGACGCUUAAUUUGCAGCAGCUGUCAAACAGCUGGGUAAGUGUUGCUGGCUCAUGUAAUGGCUUGGUCUUGGUGAUUAAGAGGGAAGAGGCUAAAUAUUUGAUCAACCCCACUACCUUAGAGUACCAUAAAAUUCCAAAUUUUGAUUUGGCUCUUCCUGUGCCAGGUAGCUGUAGCAUGUAUGGUUUUGGGUACGAUACACUUAGCGAUGAUUAUAAGGUGGUAACUCUUUCUUAUUAUGAUUCAUUUGAUGAAAAUGAGCCUGCAAUUAUGGACACUUUUGUGGAUAUUUACUCUCUGAAAAAGGGUCUUUGGAAGAGACUUGAGAGUUCUCCUUAUGAUCAUCCACUUAGUGACCGUGCUUCUGGGGUUUUGGUGAAUGGGGUUUUGCAUUGGUUGGUCUGUAAAACUUCUCAGUAUUCAUUUGUAAUUGCUGCUUUUCAUUUGAGUGAUGAAAAUUCUUGGAGGUAGCAGGACCUACUGGUCUUGGUAGUAAUUACUCACUGUGUAAUCUUGUGGUUCUUAGAGGAUGUCUUUGUAUAUUCACCGGUAUAGGUAAAGACAUGGACACAGUUACAUGUUGGAUGAUGAAAGAGUAUGGGGUUAAGGAGUCUUGGACCAAAUUUACGAUUACAGAACCAAAUUUAGAUAGAUCUAUGUGUACACUAUUGUGUUCAGUGACUGAUGAUGAUGUUCUAUUGGAUAUUGAAGAAGAGUUGGUUGUAUACAAUAUGAAAGAGAAUCAACGUAGGGAUCUGAUGGUUGAUGCAUCCCCUAUUAUGUGUGAAGCUCGAACCUUUAUGGAUAGUCUUGUCUCUCCUUCCUUUGUCGAAGGAAACUGAGGGCUAAUCUAUUGUUUGAUGCGCGAGAUGAUUCUGUAUACAGAGGCCAGAAUCUCUAUAUACUUUAAUCCCAAGGGUGUUACUCUUUCAUUAUGAUGUUGCAACUGUUACAAUUUCAAAACUGAAGACAAAUCACCAUGAUAGAACAAGAGUAUUCGAGGAAAACCUGCACUUAUGAUUUGAAUAUGGUGAAGUACACAAAAGCAGUACUACAGAAAACGUCUCGAGAAAAGUUCCCUUUUGAGAAACCCCCUCAUACUUGAGUUUUGUAUUGUUGACUGUCUAUAUCUCAGUUGAGUUUCUCGACAUUAGAUGAGUAGAUGAUCUGAGUAAGUAUUUGCAUACUCAUUUGACAAGAGGUGUUCUAAUGUUUCCAAUCAUGUUAAAGCAGCAAUAUUGUCCUUUGUGUUGCAAUAUCAAAAUUUCUAGCUCUGUUGUAUGUUU
Molecule: long non-coding RNA, 1906 nt
Organism: Nicotiana tabacum (common tobacco)
Lineage: Eukaryota; Viridiplantae; Streptophyta; Magnoliopsida; Solanales; Solanaceae
Source: RefSeq, a predicted model, not a curated record